This 253-nucleotide ribosomal RNA is filed under the name uncultured bacterium. Its description in RNAcentral is "partial 16S ribosomal RNA". It matches the Rfam family "Bacterial small subunit ribosomal RNA", at positions 524 to 776 of the family's 1533-position model. The record is from RNAcentral.
UACGUAGGGUGCAAGCGUUGUCCGGAAUUAUUGGGCGUAAAGAGCUCGUAGGCGGUCUGUCGCGUCUGCUGUGAAAAUCCAGGGCUCAACCCUGGACCUGCAGUGGGUACGGGCAGACUAGAGUGCGGUAGGGGAGAUCGGAAUUCCUGGUGUAGCGGUGAAAUGCGUAGAUAUCAGGAGGAACACCGGUGGCGAAGGCGGCUAUCUGGACAGAGUCUGACGCUGAGGCGCGAAAGCUAGGGGAGCAAACAGG